Molecule: transfer RNA, 72 nt
Organism: Gregarina niphandrodes
Lineage: Eukaryota; Apicomplexa; Conoidasida; Eugregarinorida; Gregarinidae
Rfam family: tRNA
About the family: Transfer RNA (tRNA) molecules are approximately 80 nucleotides in length.
Source: Rfam
GCACCAGUAGUUUAGGGGGUUGAAUUUAAGCUUCCCAAGCUUAAAGCCCGGGUUCGAGUCCCGGCUGGUACA